Paramisgurnus dabryanus is the source of this 2961-nucleotide RNA transcript. It is a transcript of the gene named TAR DNA binding protein b, with no coding region annotated. The record is from RefSeq and is a predicted model, not a curated record. NCBI's taxonomy places the organism in Eukaryota, Metazoa, Chordata, Actinopteri, Cypriniformes, Cobitidae.
UUCCUUCAUGACUUGGGUAAUGCCAUCUUGAUACGAAAACAGUGUUGCGUGAGUUGUAAAAAACAACAUUUUGUUUAGAUUACGCUAGCAGAAAUUGCGUUGUUUUGUUUUGACAAGAGACUACGUAACGAAUACGGUAGAGUGAAAUAAUUAUAUAUUAAGAGUUUUAUUUACGAGCUCAUUCAUUCCCGUGAGCCACAUUUUUUUCAGUAAGAGAAACGCUGCUGUUGGUGGCGUUAACAAAGGAAUAUUUGGAUCCGAGCAGUCUUUUAUUGGUAAUGCUAUUAGCUUUUUUCUCACCACUAUAAAGAGGUUAAUUAUAAUCCGCGCUUUAUUUCUGUCAUUAAAUGAUCAAGUAAGGCGAUCUUUAACCGUUGCUAAGCAAUAACCGUUCGCCAGGAGUCGAUAGUGCGCACGGUCGACGGCUCACGUUACGGUGUUUUGUUUCCGUGAGCAGCUCGAUUGAAGAGAGAUGGCCGAGAUGUACAUUCGUGUCGCAGAGGAGGAGAACGAGGAGCCGAUGGAGAUCCCAUCGGAGGACGACGGCACGGUACUGCUGUCCACGGUCGCCGCGCAGUUUCCAGGCGCGUGCGGCCUGCGAUACCGGAGCCCCGUGUCUCAGUGCAUGAGGGGUGUGCGGCUGGUGGACGGAAUUUUGCACGCUCCCGAGAACGGCUGGGGAAACCUGGUCUAUGUGGUCAAUUAUCCUAAAGAAACCGUUCUGCCAGAUAAUAAAAGGAAGAUGGAAGAGAUCGAUGCUUCAUCUGCAACAAAAAUCAAGAGAGGAGACCAGAAAACUUCAGAUCUGAUCGUGUUGGGUUUGCCAUGGAAAACUUCAGAACAAGAUUUAAAGGACUACUUCAGUACGUUUGGGGACGUCAUCAUGGUGCAGGUCAAGCGGGAUGUAAAAACUGGAAAUUCUAAAGGAUUUGGAUUUGUAAGGUUUGCAGAGUGGGAAUGUCAGACUAAGGUGAUGUCACAGCGGCACAUGAUUGAUGGCAGGUGGUGUGACUGCAAACUACCAAACUCCAAGCAAGGUCUCGAUGAACCAAUGAGGAGCAGGAAAGUGUUUGUGGGCCGUUGCACAGAGGACAUGAGUGCUGAUGAGCUCCGUCAGUUCUUCAUGCAGUACGGGGAGGUCACGGACGUCUUCAUUCCCAAACCCUUCAGGGCAUUUGCCUUCGUCACCUUUGCGGACGACCAAGUGGCCGCUGCGCUGUGCGGAGAGGAUCUGAUCAUCAAAGGAGUCAGCGUCCACAUCUCUAACGCAGAGCCGAAACACAACAACACCAGACAGAUGAUGGAGCGGGCGGGACGCUUCGGCAACGGGUUCGGGGGACAGGGUUUCGGAGGGAACCGUGGCGCCAUGGGGGGUAGCUCCAGCAGUUUGGGGAAUUUCGGAAAUUUCAACCUCAACCCGGCCAUGAUGGCAGCAGCCCAGGCCGCCCUGCAGAGCAGCUGGGGCAUGAUGGGAAUGUUAGCUCAGCAGAAUCAGUCGGGGACGUCCGGCGCCAACACGAGCGGCACGGCCUCCACUCGGGACCAGCCCCAAACGUACAGCUCCGGAAACAGCAACUACGGCAGCACCUCAGCCGCUCUCGGUUGGGGCUCCGGGUCCAACUCGGGGACUGGCGGUAGUGGGUUUAACUCGAGCUUUGGUACUAGUAUGGAGUCUAAGUCGUCGGGGUGGGGUAUGUAAGCCGUGUUUCGUUUUCGAUGAGUUUGUAUUUUUAGUGUGUUUGGUAAGUAUUUCUCCAAGAGACUUAUCUCGUCACGUGUGUUUGGGAGCGGGGAUGGGUGAUAAAGGAGCCUGGGGACAAAAACAGACUGUUUUGUACAACGAAUGCAGUUGAAUUUAGUGUUUGGAGUGAGAUCUGGGUGUUACAUUAAUGUGUACCAUCUUUGAUGUUAUGUUUCCCCCAAUGUUGUAUUGUCUUAGUUGACGCAACCGAAGCAUUUCAACUGGAUUCUUAUAAUGCAUGUUGUUAAGUCUGUGAUACUUGUAAUAAAAUGCAUGAGAAUUGCAUCAUCGUUUAAAGACAUUUAUGUUAGAUAAAAGAAAGAAACUUGCAUUUGAAAGAAUCUGGUUGAAACCUGCAAACUAUUUGAGCUUUAUUUCAGUCCAGUUUUAUGGAAAUGCUUUCAAACAAGCCUUCAUCAAAAUCUCUUCUGCAGUUGACAUCUGUGGGGUUUGCCUGGGAAGAGCGCCCUCUAUGGCAGCACAGUGUGGCUGAGGUCAUUAUCUCUCACCUUCCUCCCCAUGUCUGUAUGCUUUCAUCGCACGGCUCGAUGACACGGGGCCUGGAAUAUGGCUGGCAGCCACUGAACCCCAGGCGGGAAGUCCGUUUGGGGAUGGAAGAAGAUGGAGGAUGUUGUGGUACCCCAUUACAGCAAUAGCAUCUCUGGUAACAGCCAUGGACACGGUAGAAGGUGGCAGGAAUGAUAGGUGCAUUCUAAUGAGGAACCAUGUUUAGUUCAAUGCUUGUUUUUCUGAAGUCUUGCUGAACAUUAGCCAUGAUGCAGUAAGGCCAGGGUGACCGUAAUUGCCAUUUUUCCUGGAAGUCGCAUUGGUCGAUCGCAUAAGUCAGCGAGGUUUGAUAUUUCAGGUUUUAUUUUAAAAAAGCAACUGUUAACAUUUCAAGGUAAGAAUAAAACUACAAUGAUUAUAUGUCUUAAGAGAAAUAAACCUUAAUUUUAUGUUUUUAACUGAAAUGCAAGUACCACAAAAGCGACUUUUGGAGUACACACCCCAAAUCUUGGCCAGGAUGUGUCCAGGGAAUAUGGCACGUAUGGUCAACCUAAAUUAGGCUCAAUCUGGCUCCAAGAAAGUAGACAAAUUUUCUUUAAUUGAAACAUCUUCAAGUAUUUUUACAAUAUCUACAUUGUUUUAUAAAGCUUUCUAUAGUUUCCUAAAGAACAGAAAUGUUUUCAGGAUUCUUCAAUAAAACACACAACCAGACA